This 1350-nucleotide ribosomal RNA is filed under the name Triticum aestivum (bread wheat). RNAcentral's name for it is "partial small subunit ribosomal RNA". Lineage: Eukaryota; Viridiplantae; Streptophyta; Magnoliopsida; Poales; Poaceae. The record is from RNAcentral.
AUGCGUUUCUCGCAAGAACUAGGUCCAAGCACCGAACCAGAUCGCAUCAGCGCGCUUCAAGACGACCUGCUCCUCCUCAUCCUCGCAUGGCUAACCUGCAUCGGUGCCGCGGUGCGCACUGGCGUCCUAUCAAGCCGGUGGCGUGGCCUCUGGGCCAGCCUCCGCCAGAUUAUCUUUCGCGACAUCAUGUUCGACUCGAUCGAACUAGUGCUCAACCGCUACGCUCAUCCUUUCCCUAUUGUUUCCCUCCUGGAAAUCCAUGUCUCCGAGCAGGAUAGGGUCGACAGUCCUAGCGUAAACUCAAUGUUGCGCGUUGCUGCACCGCUCGAGACAGAAAAGCUUGUCAUCACCCUCCCCUCGCGCUCUAUAUCAGACCAAUCCAUCAUCGUUGAUUUGCCUUGCUUCCACCAUGCCACUUCCAUCGUGUUGGAGAAUUUUGACAUCAUUCACUGUGUGCUAGCUGACAUCAAAUUCAAUGCCCUCGAAGCGCUUUCCCUUUCGUGCUGCAAAGCCGAUCUUGAUGCCUUACUCUCCUACUGCCCACACUUGCACACGCUCCACCUUAGCGGCCUUUUGUUUGAGACAUGGAACUUGAGGGUGAAUUCUUCGUCGUUGCAGGAGCUUAUUGUGGACACUAUAUGGGCACAACGUGUCAACAUUGUUGCUCCCAUUCUUAAGAAAUUGACCAUGAUCUUUAUUCCAUUGCCGGAGCUCAAGAAUGUUUCUGUCUUGGCCCCAAUGCUGGAGGAGGUCGAGUGGCACUGCACCUACAGUGAUGACUCUAUUGUGUUUGGUCUUUGGAAACUCGAGCUUCUAAGGUUGCCCGCGACAAGGAGGCAAGGAAAAUUGCGUUCACUAUGUAUUCAUGCCUGCGCGAAGUUGUCACUUCUUCCCCAUGAACCCACCUUUGCAGAGGAGAUAGAGAAGCAUAUCAUUUUUAAAUUCUCUAAUUUGAAGCUAUAUCUACUAACAGGAGGACAUAUUUUUGGAGCACUCGUGUUUUAUCUCCUUACGAUUAAUCGAAUUGCUAGUUCUAUGAAGAGGCUGAAGAUCGUUCUGUUGAGAUCGGUGGUGAAAGAAGAAUGUCCAACAGAUUGUCCUUGUGUGCCCAUGAAUUGGAGAACCCAAACUAUCUCCUUAACCGCUCUCGAAGAAGUGGAAAUUAAUGGCUUCAACGGAGAGGAUCAUGAGUUUGAUUUAUUGGAACUAAUACUCAUAUGUGCACCAAUGCUUAAAAGAAUUAUUCUGAGAUUGUCACAUGAGGUCUUACCAAGUGGAAAUGGAUGCACUACAAUAUACGACAUGUCCAAGGUCUACUCUUCAGUGAAAUGCUAUAUUUAUCUUAGCUCU